GCUCGGGUGGUGGAAUGGUAGACACGCCAGACUUAGGAUCUGGUGCCGCAAGGCAUGAGGGUUCGAGUCCCUCUUCGAGCACCA
This 84-nucleotide transfer RNA is filed under the name Puniceicoccales bacterium. RNAcentral's name for it is "tRNA-Leu". It matches the Rfam family "tRNA". Rfam says of the family: Transfer RNA (tRNA) molecules are approximately 80 nucleotides in length. Lineage: Bacteria; Pseudomonadati; Verrucomicrobiota; Opitutia; Puniceicoccales. The record is from RNAcentral.